Non-coding RNA from Sturnus vulgaris (Common starling), 3556 nucleotides. The record is from RefSeq and is a predicted model, not a curated record. Lineage: Eukaryota; Metazoa; Chordata; Aves; Passeriformes; Sturnidae.
AAAAAAAGGAUUUAUGCUGGAAACCACAUUGGCUGGUGGCUGACAAGGAAAAGUUGGAUUUGAGAAACGACACAAGAAUUACAGGAUUUUUACUGGACAUGUAUGACAGCUACGACCCAUUGUCAAAAGUUCUGCUCUAUUCUCUCUCUGAGGGUGUGAGAAGGAUCACUGGGAAGAAAGAAAAAGGAGUGCUGGCUGACAGUGCUCUAAUAGCAGCAGAUGGAAUGGAGACAGAGAGACCAUAGGACAGUGCACUGGCAUUGCAUGAUGUGUCCAAACCCCUCGCCAAUAUGGUGAAUAGGUGAACGAGUUGGGGUUCGGAAAGCAAUUCUAUGGCAGAGAAGAAUCCUUGGAAGCUGGGUCAGGAGCAAAUAAAUGCCAGUGCUGAUGAAGCUGGAAAAUUGAAGUACAUUCUUCAAAAUAGUAUUUUUUUCUGGCACUAUAAUUUUAGUUUGGAGUGCAUCAGUAACUGAAUUCCUGGGACUAAUUUGAUACAGGAGAGCAGUGAGGUAGAGUGCUCAUGUCACUGAGGUUCUUACUGGCUGUGGGAUGUCCAUACAGGGGUCAGGAUGAGCAGCAAGAAGAAAAUCAAGCUCUUGCAUAAGAAUACAGGGGCAGUUCUUACUCCAUUUUGAUUUUGCUAUGAGGUUAUUGUGAACUGUAAAGAAUUACUGUAAGUUGUGUGAAAUUCUGUGUUGUGUUGAAUAGCACAUUAAACUUAGUUACCUAAAGUUUUACUGUGUCAUUUUAAUGUUAAUGAAGUGUGUAGAGUGGAUUAUUUCCCUGGGAGAGUCUGUACAGAGUUCUCUGAUGGGCAGCAAAAAAGGACAAGCCAAAGUGCUCGUGGUAUUGCUAAACUUAGUCAGAAUUUAGCAACUUUUUGUAGGUUUUCUUAAUGACUGAAAUCUUUAUGUUUUAUUUAAAACUCAAAAGGGUUAAAAAAGAAACAAUAUUCUAGUGUCAGUUGCACCAUCAAGUGUGCUUCCAUCUGAAUGUGUUUCUUGGAAUGCUUUUCUUUAGGGAACAAAUUUAACAUAUCCCAUAUAUUGGAAGGCAUUUGUGCAGUUGGCUGAUGCCCUAAAAAAUAAUGGGGGAAAAAUGCUGGACUUUAGAUUGCAUUGUGUUGGUGCCUUUGAAAAAAUGAGUAACUGAGGUCAGCUAAUCAGCUUAUCUAAAAUCUUCUGUGAUUGAAGCAUUUGAUAUCUUGCUUUGGCUUUUGAUAGUACAAAAGCUGAUACAUGAGCUGAUACGUGACACAUGUAAAUUAUUUUCUUCUGUACCAGAGAUGAAGUAAGUGGAGUACUUUCAGUAACUGAAGUUCUACAGAACGGUGUUGGCGGUUCUGAACCUGUUUUGUAGUUACCGAGUGUGAGUAAUCCUGGGAAGGUUUUGAACCGAGAAGCUGAGGUUGGUGCAGUACUCAGGGUAUUCAGUGUAUGGUUGUCAGAAGCACAGAAACUUCCAGUUCUUUGCUUUUAACACUUUUUUUUCUUUAACCGCACACUUGAAUAAGCUUUCAGGUCUUGAUCUUAGAGUGUUCAAGCCAGCUGGGCUUUCCCACCAACUUACACUAGAACAGCCUCUCUGUGGGGAGAAAUUCCCCUAAUUAGAUCUUUAUACUCUGCAUUCAGCUCUUUAAAUGAGCUGUUUCACUGGCUGUAAGAAAUUGCUGUUGCCCUUAAAUAUUAUAUUGAUGAAGUAUCUGAAUUCAAUGUUACUUUAUGAACAAUAGAUUUUUCUCUAAAUGUUGCGCAGAUCUUUAAAAAAAAGUUGAGGAGGCAGUUUUUUGAGACUUUGUCAAAAUGAAAAUGCCAAUUCCUCUGUAUUUGUGUUCUCUCUUUGCUCUGCACCUUUCAGAUUUUUCUUUGACUACCAAACAUUGAGUCAUGUAAAUAACUCAGUUUGGCUCACGGAAGAAGGGUGACUGGUGACACUUAUUGUCAGUGAAGUGUCUUCCAGUGCUCUCAGAUUUGAUUGUUGGUGUCAUUACAGUGAGAAGGAAAGAGGACUCAGCCUUCCAUUACAUUUCCCUCCAAAAUCUUCAAGAUCAGAAGAAUCCACAACUGUGCCACAUUCUCAGCCAGUUUAACCUCGUUCUUAUGCCUUUUUAAAUCCACACUGCAAAUAUUUUUAUUAUUUAAUGACUUACUGUUAUGCCAGUAGAAUAAUACUGCUGUACCUGAUAUGUUGAGUUGCACUCAUUAUGUAAAUUACUGGGAGAAUGAUUAUUCUUGUUCAUAGUACUGGAAUAUAGUACCAUUCAUCCCAAACCUCCCAUUACACUGCUGCUUCAUGCUGAAGAAAAAUCGAGAGAAAGUAGACUUCUAAACAUUUCCUUUUGUAAUGUUACAGUGUGACAGAUGAUAUAUUUGGGUUGCUACAUGAGCAUAUGCUUUUGAGUAUCUGACUUCUGUAGAGCAGAAUAUUAUCAUUAUUAUUUUCCAGUAAAGUUAUAAUGGCGAAGAGAAAUGAUUCUGAAACAAAUUUGUUUCUUCUGAUGGAUAUGAUGAGCAGUGGCUCUGCUUUAAUCAAAAUUGCCAAGUGAGGCUUUCUGCUCCUGUGGGUCUGUGGGAAUUGUGGAAUUUGACUAUGUUCAGAUGUCAAAACUAAACAUAUAAGAAUUACUUACCCUCUUAUUCCCGUGGUACAUUAAAUAUGUAGGUUUAAGAGAAUUCCUUUAAGCAGAACUGUAAGUUGUGCUGUUGGCAGUACUGAAUACUUAGGGCAUAACCUGUAAUGUUAAAUGAGAAAAUUUUUGUAGAGAUUUACAGUGGAAGACAAAUAGUAGCUAUAAAAACCGCUGACUUUUGGUUUUGUUUUGUGUUUAUAAAGUGGACUUACUGUGCCAGUUGGUUUCCUUAGAACUGUGGAUCUGUCUAAUCUUUUAAAAUGUGAGUAUUUACAUACAUAAACCAGGAAACUUCAUCCAAGUAAGGGCUGUUCUGUGUUGAACUUAAAUUUCAAACCAUUAGCUAAAGCAUUGAAGUUACAAUGCACUGAAUUUUACAGUACUAACUUAAUUUUCCAUUACUUUGCCUUCACAAGAAGCUAUUUUCUAAAAUCACAAUAACUACAAUUGUGCUUUUAGCUCACAUAAUGUAGUAUCACCUGAAAAUUUUGUGUGUCUUGCUGGGGAAAGGUAGUCUGACCUAUAUUGUGAUUUAAUUUUGUAGUAAAAACCACCUACAAGAUAGGAGGAAAAAUUGUUUAAAAUAGCUCUUGCAGAUUUCUUGGAGUUUUGCAGAUCAUCACAGACCCACUGGAGAGGAGUAGAAACUGAGGUGAGAUACUGAAACAGGUUACUUAAAGAAACAAUGUUUCAAUGCCCUGUUUUCUUGCCAUUUCAAAUUGCUGUUUAAUUCUCUUUCCCUACUCUGAAUGCUUACAAGUCUGUAAAGCUUGAUCAGACAGUCAAGAGGAAUGCUGCACUGAGGCACAUUAUUUAAGAAUGUAUUAGGGAUGCAGGAAACUGGUUUUGUUCUGAAUUCUUCAGGCUUUGUAGAUCAUCACAGGUUUUAUCUUGUGCUAAAAUUGAAAUAAAUUUGAAAUACAACUU